Molecule: ribosomal RNA, 418 nt
Filed under: uncultured bacterium
Lineage: Bacteria
Description: bacterial SSU rRNA
Rfam family: Bacterial small subunit ribosomal RNA
Source: RNAcentral
AGGAAUAUUGCUCAAUGGGAGAAAUCCUGAAGCAGCAACGCCGCGUGGAGGAUGAAGGGUCUAUGACUUGUAAACUCCUGUAAAGAAGGAAAAAAUUCCCAUUUGAUGGGAGAUGAUGGUACUUCUGGAGUAAGCCCCGGCUAACUACGUGCCAGCAGACGCGGUAAUACGUAGGGGGCAAGCGUUGUCCGGAUUUACCGGGUGUAAAGGGUGCUCAGGCGGAAUUGUAAGUCAGAGGUGAAAUCUUACAGCUUAACUGUGAAACUGCCUUGGAUGCUGCAAGCCUGGAGUAUGGAAGAGAGUGAUGGAAUAUCUGGUGUAGCAGUGAAAUGCGUAGAUAUCAGAUAGAACACCAAUGGCGAAGGCAGUCACUUGGUCCAUUACUGACGCUAAAGCACGAAAGCGUGGGUAGCAAACA